RNAcentral lists this ribosomal RNA (498 nucleotides) under uncultured bacterium. Its description in RNAcentral is "partial 16S ribosomal RNA". It matches the Rfam family "Bacterial small subunit ribosomal RNA", at positions 29 to 507 of the family's 1533-position model. The record is from RNAcentral.
AGCGAACGCUGGCGGCGUGCCUAACACAUGCAAGUCGAACGUGAAAAGGGAAACCUGAGUAAAGUGGCGUACGGGUGAGUAACGCGUAGGUAAUCUACCCCAGAAUCUGGAAUAACCUGCCGAAAGGCGGGCUAAUGCUGGAUAGAGCGAGGGAACUCGUAAGAGAGUUUUUCGGGAAAGGGAGCCCGCAAGGGCCUUCGUUCUGGGAUGAGCCUGCGUCUCAUUAGCUAGUUGGUAAGGUAACGGCUUACCAAGGCGAUGAUGAGUAGCUGGUCUGAGAGGAUGAUCAGCCACACUGGAACUGAAACACGGUCCAGACUCCUACGGGAGGCAGCAGUGGGGAAUCUUGCGCAAUGGACGAAAGUCUGACGCAGCCACGCCGCGUGAGUGAAGAAGGCCUUCGGGUUGUAAAGCUCUGUCGGAUGGGACGAACAUCUUCAUAGUGAAUAGCUAUGAGGACUGACGGUACCAUCAAAGGAAGCACCGGCUAACUCCGUG